GCGCGUGCGGUACCCAGGCCUGAGACGCAGUUUUCACCCCCGGACUGGGCAGAUGCUGGGGCGACGUGAGAAGCCUGGAGCAGAUCCAGGCCGGGGCUUCGGGUCGAGUGUCUGGGAGACCAAAGCUGGAGGAGGCGACCCCUGAGGAAAUCAUGCAGUUUGGGGUGGCCUUGUCCAGAAGACCUGGUGUCAGGGAAGACGUGUGACAGACCACAUCCCCCAGGUUGGAACGACUUGGCUGCAACUUCCUGCUUCGACCAUCACCAGCCUCCUUGUAACCUAGAAGACCAAACUCACACUGCCCCCACCUCCCUCGGGGUGGACUGUGCCAGUCCAGGUGCAUGCGCCCCGCCCCUCUGCUGUGUCCCAGUCCCUGUGUGUGGGCCCACCCCCGGUCCUGUCCCUCAGGGUCAAAAUCUAGGUAGAUAUCCUAGCUCUUUUUAAGUUUUAAGUCGUCUCUGCCUAUCGAGUCCCUCACCUCAGAACAAAAAUUAAAAGGCCAAGGUUGAGCCAGACAUUCAUGCGACAGCUGUGUGUGGCACAGGAACCCAGGAAAGGUAGGGGCGGUGUGGCCUGGGUAGGCACAGGGUCUGACUGCGAAGGACCAGACCGUGGUGGGAGCAGGCCUGAACCUUGCGCAGGCUCAGUUUCGCAGUCUGUCCAACGGCCGCAGUGGUCCCAGGUGGGCCCUGAGGGUGGCGAGGCGUCGCGUGGGGGCAGAAACGCUGGUAUGUGAGUGUCCGGCCCUGGAGAGUGACUAGAGGGAAAUAGCCGGAGCGGGCUCGCUGGGGCCCCCACCCGCAGGCUCACCGUCCUUGCCGCCUGAUUCUACUCCGUCUUUCCCGGAUUUUCUGUAAGAAGCCGGGCCCCCAUGUCUUAUUAAAAGCCCAUAUCACUUAAGGUCAGCAUUCAGAUGCUGCUUUAGGAGUUUAUGAGCAACGUUUCUUUAAUGUUAAAACAAACGAAGGUUCUGCAUGGUCUUAGCGUUUGUCAUUUUAUCUAUAAAAUACAUUUUUACCAGGAGGAAAA
Long non-coding RNA from Pteropus alecto (black flying fox), 1029 nucleotides. RefSeq lists it as uncharacterized. The transcript has 2 exons. The record is from RefSeq and is a predicted model, not a curated record. Lineage: Eukaryota; Metazoa; Chordata; Mammalia; Chiroptera; Pteropodidae.